This 427-nucleotide ribosomal RNA is filed under the name uncultured bacterium. Its description in RNAcentral is "bacterial SSU rRNA". It matches the Rfam family "Bacterial small subunit ribosomal RNA", at positions 355 to 774 of the family's 1533-position model. The record is from RNAcentral.
UGAGGAAUAUUGGACAAUGGGCGCAAGCCUGAUCCAGCAAUGCCGCGUGCAGGAUGAAGGCCUUCGGGUUGUAAACUGCUUUUGUACGGAGCGAAAAGGUCUGCCCUAAUACGGUGGGCUCAUGACGGUACCGUAAGAAUAAGCACCGGCUAACUACGUGCCAGCAGCCGCGGUAAUACGUAGGGUGCGAGCGUUAAUCGGAAUUACUGGGCGUAAGGCGUGCGCAGGCGGUUAUAUAAGACAGAUGUGAAAUCCCCGGGCUCAACCUGGGACCUGCAUUUGUGACUGUAUAGCUAGAGUACGGUAGAGGGGGAUGGAAUUCCGCGUGUAGCAGUGAAAUGCGUAGAUAUGCGGAGGAACACCGAUGGCGAAGGCAAUCCCCUGGACCUGUACUGACGCUCAUGCACGAAAGCGUGGGGAGCAAACA